ACUUGCUUCCUUCCCAGUCCUGAGAAUAUAGACAUUUAGGCAUUCUAGAAUAUGGACGACAUGUCCAAUUUGUAUCUCUUCACUUUAAAUAUUUUAAAGGAGUUGGCAUAUUUCACACAGCUUAAGGAUAAUUUUCUCCUCAUUAAUGAAAGGAAUUUGCAAAAGUAAUUAUUGAAUACUUAGAAGUAAAGCAGAACAUAAGGAUUAUCAUUGUAGGCAGAGCUCUUGGAAAUACAUAUACAUGAAAAGAAGGCAACGUGAACUUGAAUAAUGCUUAUGUCUAAUUUAUUGUGUGCAGAUCUUUGGCUGGAAUGCUGAAAGAUUCAUUGAGAAAAACUCAAUUCAUUGUUUCAGUGUUGAGAAAAUAAAAGGGACUUUUCUAUUAACCUCCAGAUUAGGUCCCAUGUGUAUCAGCAAACCGCCAAAGGGGUGCAGUCUGGAAGAAGGUUAAGAAACCUGCUAGGACAAUGUGAGUUUCCUGGAGGCAAUCUGCUGCAGCACCUUUCAUAUAAGAAAAGCUCGAAAAAUGUCUACCAGUUUUUCAAACGUCACCUCCAUGGAACUUCUCUUAUUCUCACUAUCUGAAGCCUUAAAACAAAGAAGAAUUAACACAACUAGAAACUCAAGCGAAGAAGUUAAUUUAUGGGGAAACAAGUUCUAUUUUAUGCAGGUAAAAUUUGAAGUGAUGGUAGAAUAAGUGUUAUGUCCAGCACCUACUUGAAGAGAAGUUGGGAUAUAGACCAGGGAGUCAACAGUAUAGAUGAGAACUGAAAUUAUGAAAUAUCCAAGAGAAAAAUGAAAAGGCUCAGAGGGCUGAAAAUUACACCUUAACAUGAAGCAAUGGAAAUGAAACUAGCAAAAAGAGAAAAAGAUAUUUAUUGAUUAAAAUAAUAAAAGCUAAUGAUUGAUUAAUAAUUAGGUGAAUGACAACCCUACCACAGGGGUCACAGUAAAGCCCCAACUGUAGGAAAAAGGAAGAAAGAAAGAAAAAAAAGAAGAAAGAAA
Molecule: non-coding RNA, 1005 nt
Organism: Delphinapterus leucas (beluga whale)
Lineage: Eukaryota; Metazoa; Chordata; Mammalia; Artiodactyla; Monodontidae
Source: RefSeq, a predicted model, not a curated record